GUUGAUUAUAGAAAAAUCAACGCUGGUACUAGAAAAGAUCAUUUUCCAUUACCAUUUAUUGAUCAAAUGUUGGAAAGGUUGGCUGGUCGUGCUUUCUACUGUUUCUUGGAUGGCUAUUCAGGGUACAACCAGAUUCCAGUUGCCCCUGAGGAUCAAGAAAAGACAACCUUUACUUGUCCUUUUGGGACUUUCGCAUAUAGAAGAAUGCCUUUUGGUUUGUGCAAUGCACCUGCCACAUUUCAACGUUGCAUGAUGAGCAUAUUUACCGGGUUAGUUGAGCAUGUAGUUGAGGUAUUUAUGGAUGACUUUUCUGUUUUUGGGGAUUCUUUUGACCAAUGUUUGCAGAAUUUAUCUCUAGUUCUGGAAAGAUGCAUUAAGACCAACCUGGUUUUAAACUGGGAAAAGUGUCACUUCAUGGUUAGGCAGGGUAUUGUCUUGGGCCACUUGAUUUCUAACAGGGGUAUUGAAGUUGAUAGGGCUAAAAUUGAUGCAAUUGAAAAGAUGCCACCCCCGACAACUGUUAAGAGUGUUCGAUCUUUUCUUGGCCAUGCUGGGUUUUAUAGACGGUUCAUCAAGGAUUUCUCCAAGAUUAGCCGACCCUUGUGUAAUUUGUUGGCGAAAGAUGCUCCUUUUAUUUUUGAUGAGGCUUGUUUGGAGGCCUUCAAGAAGUUAAAGACUCUCCUCACUACAGCACCCAUUAUUGCAGCUCCUGAUUGGAGCCUACCUUUUGAACUGAUGUGUGACGCAUCAGACUGUGCAGUGGGGGCAGUUCUUGGACAGCGAAAAGAUAGACUUCCCCAAGUUAUUUAUUAUGCUAGUCGAACCCUCAAUGAUGCACAACUAAAUUAUGCGACAACAGAGAAGGAAUUGUUGGCAAUUGUUUUUGCUUUGGAAAAAUUUCGUUCGUAUUUAGUUGGGGCUAGAGUGAUUGUUUAUACAGAUCAUGCAGCUUUGAAAUAUUUGUUGACUAAAAAAGAUGCUAAGCCUCGAUUGAUUCGUUGGAUUCUUUUAUUGCAAGAGUUUGACUUAGAAAUCAAAGAUAAAAAGGGCAGUGAAAAUGUGGUGGCUGACCACUUGUCCAGAUUGAUUAUUCCAACAGCUUCAGAAGAGGAUUCCCUACCACUGAGGGAUAGUUUUCCAGAUGAACAGCUAUUUGCAGUCCAAUUCUGUACAACAUGGUUUGCUGAUAUGGUUAAUUAUUUGGUUAAAGGGGUAGUGCAUCCAGAUUUAACUAUUCAGUAGAAAAAGAAGUUUUUAUCUGAUGUGAAGCAUUAUUUCUGGGAUGAGCCAUACCUAUUUAAGUAUUGCCCAGACCAGAUUAUUCGCAGAUGUAUUCCUGAAGCCGAACAAGAAAGUGUAUUAAGGUUUUGCUCAUCAUUUUGCUUGUGGAGGACAUUUUGGGCAGAAAAGAACGGCAGAAAAAAUUUUGCAAAGUGGGUUAUUUUGGCCUACACUUUUUAAAGAUGCAUAUAAUUGGUGCAAGGCUUGUGAUAGGUGUCAAAGGGUCGGCAACCAGUCCAAAAGGAAUGAGAUGCCCCAGCAAAGUAUUUUGAUUGUUGAAUUAUUUGAUGUGUGGGGUAUUGAUUUCAUGGGACCAUUUCCAUCUUCCCAUGGGAAUCAAUAUAUUUUAGUCGCUGUGGAGUAUGUUUCUAAGUGGGUCGAGGCCAUAGCAGCACCAACUAAUCAGGGAUCAGUGGUCCUGAGAUUCCUCCAAGGGGUUAUAUUUCCGCGUUUUGGAAUUCCACGCGUUAUUCUUAGUGAUGGGGGAAAGCACUUUAUUAAUAAAUCAUUUGCUAAUUUAUUGGCAAAAUAUGGGAUUAAUCAUCGUGUGGCUACACCUUAUCAUCCACAGACAUCUGGUCAAGUGGAAGUUUCAAACAGAGAAUUAAAACGCAUUUUGGAGAAAACAGUUGGUUCAACACGAAAAGAUUGGAGUUUAAAAUUAAAUGAUGCAUUGUGGGCCUACAGGACAGCUUUUAAAAACUCCUAUUUGGAUGUCACCAUUUCGACUCGUUUAUGGGAAAGCAUGUCAUCUACCUAUGGAGCUUGAGCAUAAGGCAUUCUGGGCAAUUAAAGAGUUAAAUUUUUCAUAUGACUCAGCUGGGGAACAACGUAAAUUGCAGCUCAAUGAGUUGGAGAAA
RNAcentral lists this long non-coding RNA (2141 nucleotides) under Malus domestica (apple). Its description in RNAcentral is "long non-coding RNA (MDOM_LNC006090)". Lineage: Eukaryota; Viridiplantae; Streptophyta; Magnoliopsida; Rosales; Rosaceae. The record is from RNAcentral.